GAUCAUGGCUCAGGAUGAACGCUAGCUACAGGCUUAACACAUGCAAGUCGAGGGGCAGCAUCAUCAAAGCUUGCUUUGAUGGAUGGCGACCGGCGCACGGGUGAGUAACACGUAUCCAACCUGCCGACAACACUGGGAUAGCCUUUCGAAAGAAAGAUUAAUACCGGAUGGCAUAGUUUUCCCGCAUGGGAUAAUUAUUAAAGAAUUUCGGUUGUCGAUGGGGAUGCGUUCCAUUAGGCAGUUGGCGGGGUAACGGCCCACCAAACCUACGAUGGAUAGGGGUUCUGAGAGGAAGGUCCCCCACAUUGGAACUGAGACACGGUCC
RNAcentral lists this ribosomal RNA (325 nucleotides) under uncultured bacterium. Its description in RNAcentral is "bacterial SSU rRNA". It matches the Rfam family "Bacterial small subunit ribosomal RNA", at positions 15 to 332 of the family's 1533-position model. The record is from RNAcentral.